Molecule: ribosomal RNA, 497 nt
Filed under: uncultured bacterium
Lineage: Bacteria
Description: partial 16S ribosomal RNA
Rfam family: Bacterial small subunit ribosomal RNA
Source: RNAcentral
GACGAACGCUGGCGGCGUGCCUAAUACAUGCAAGUUGAGCGCUGAAGGUUGGUACUUGUACCGACUGGAUGAGCAGCGAACGGGUGAGUAACGCGUGGGGAAUCUGCCUUUGAGCGGGGGACAACAUUUGGAAACGAAUGCUAAUACCGCAUAAAAACUUUAAACACAAGUUUUAAGUUUGAAAGAUGCAAUUGCAUCACUCAAAGAUGAUCCCGCGUUGUAUUAGCUAGUUGGUGAGGUAAAGGCUCACCAAGGCGAUGAUACAUAGCCGACCUGAGAGGGUGAUCGGCCACAUUGGGACGGAGACACGGCCCAAACGCCUACGGGAGGCAGCAGUAGGGAAUCUUCGGCAAUGGACGAAAGUCUGACCGAGCAACGCCGCGUGAGUGAAGAAGGUUUUCGGAUCGUAAAACUCGGUUGGUAGAGAAGAACGUUGGUGAGAGUGGAAAGCUCAUCAAGUGACGGUAACUACACAGAAAGGGACGGCUAGCUACGUG